GAUGAACGCUGGCGGCGUGCUUAACACAUGCCAGUCGAACGGAAAGGCUCCUGCUUGCCGGGGUACUCGAGUGGCGAACGGGCGAGUAACACGUGGGUGAUCUGCCCUGCACUUCGGGAUAAGCCUGGGAAACUGGGUCUAAUACCGGAUAGGACCUCAUUUUGGAUGGUGUGGUGGAGAGUUUUUCGGUGUGGGAUGAGCUCGCGGCGUAUCAGCUUGUUGGUGGGGUAAUGGCGUACCAAGGCGCCGACGGGGAGCCGGCCUGAGAGGGUGUACGGCCGCAUUGGGACUGAGAGACGGCCCAGACUCCGACGGGAGGCAGAAGGGGGGAAUAUUGGACAAUGGGCGCAAGCCUGAGGCAGCGAGGCCGCGGGGGGGAUGACGGCCUUCGUGUUGUAAGCUCCUGUGGCUAGGGAAGAAGCGUUUUUGUGACGGUACCUGGAGAAGAAGCACCGGCUAACUACGUG
This 467-nucleotide ribosomal RNA is filed under the name uncultured bacterium. RNAcentral describes it as "partial 16S ribosomal RNA". It matches the Rfam family "Bacterial small subunit ribosomal RNA", at positions 28 to 507 of the family's 1533-position model. The record is from RNAcentral.